Molecule: ribosomal RNA, 207 nt
Filed under: uncultured bacterium
Lineage: Bacteria
Description: partial 16S ribosomal RNA
Rfam family: Bacterial small subunit ribosomal RNA
Source: RNAcentral
CACGUAGGCGGGUCUUUAAGUCGGGGGUGAAAUCCUGGAGCUCAACUCCAGAACUGCCUUCGAUACUGAGGAUCUCGAGUCCGGGAGAGGUGAGUGGAACUCCGAGUGUAGAGGUGAAACUCGUAGAUAUUCGGAAGAACACCAGUGGCGAAGGCGGCUCACUGGCCCGGUACUGACGCUGAGGUGCGAAAGCGUGGGGAGCAAACA